CCUACGGGGAGCAGCAGUGAGGAAUAUUGGUCAAUGGACGAGAGUCUGAACCAGCCAAGUAGCGUGAAGGAUGACUGCCCUAUGGGUUGUAAACUUCUUUUAUAUGGGAAUAAAAUGUUCCACGUGUGGGAUUUUGUAUGUACCAUAUGAAUAAGGAUCGGCUAAUUCCGUGCCAGCAGCCGCGGUAAUACGGCGGAUCCGAGCGUUAUCCGGAUUUAUUGGGUUUAAAGGGAGCGUAGGUGGAUUGUUAAGUCAGUUGUGAAAGUUUGCGGCUCAACCGUAAAAUUGCAGUUGAAACUGGCAGUCUUGAGUACAGUAGAGGUGGGCGGAAGUCGUGGUGUAGCGGUGAAAUGCUUAGAUAUCACGAAGAACUCCGAUUGCGAAGGCAGCUCACUGGACUGCAACUGACACUGAGGCUCGAAAGUGUGGGGAUCAAACAGGAUUAGAUACCCGAGUAGUC
RNAcentral lists this ribosomal RNA (460 nucleotides) under uncultured bacterium. RNAcentral's name for it is "partial 16S ribosomal RNA". It matches the Rfam family "Bacterial small subunit ribosomal RNA", at positions 338 to 795 of the family's 1533-position model. The record is from RNAcentral.